Molecule: ribosomal RNA, 2254 nt
Filed under: Klebsiella pneumoniae BIDMC 42a
Lineage: Bacteria; Pseudomonadati; Pseudomonadota; Gammaproteobacteria; Enterobacterales; Enterobacteriaceae
Description: bacterial LSU rRNA
Rfam family: Bacterial large subunit ribosomal RNA
Source: RNAcentral
GUUAAGUUGCAGGGUAUAGACCCGAAACCCGGUGAUCUAGCCAUGGGCAGGUUGAAGGUUGGGUAACACUAACUGGAGGACCGAACCGACUAAUGUUGAAAAAUUAGCGGAUGACUUGUGGCUGGGGGUGAAAGGCCAAUCAAACCGGGAGAUAGCUGGUUCUCCCCGAAAGCUAUUUAGGUAGCGCCUCGUGAACUCAUCUUCGGGGGUAGAGCACUGUUUCGGCUAGGGGGUCAUCCCGACUUACCAACCCGAUGCAAACUACGAAUACCGAAGAAUGUUAUCACGGGAGACACACGGCGGGUGCUAACGUCCGUCGUGAAGAGGGAAACAACCCAGACCGCCAGCUAAGGUCCCAAAGUCAUGGUUAAGUGGGAAACGAUGUGGGAAGGCACAGACAGCCAGGAUGUUGGCUUAGAAGCAGCCAUCAUUUAAAGAAAGCGUAAUAGCUCACUGGUCGAGUCGGCCUGCGCGGAAGAUGUAACGGGGCUAAACCAUGCACCGAAGCUGCGGCAGCGACACUAUGUGUUGUUGGGUAGGGGAGCGUUCUGUAAGCCUGCGAAGGUGUGCUGUGAGGCAUGCUGGAGGUAUCAGAAGUGCGAAUGCUGACAUAAGUAACGAUAAAGCGGGUGAAAAGCCCGCUCGCCGGAAGACCAAGGGUUCCUGUCCAACGUUAAUCGGGGCAGGGUGAGUCGACCCCUAAGGCGAGGCCGAAAGGCGUAGUCGAUGGGAAACAGGUUAAUAUUCCUGUACUUGGUGUUACUGCGAAGGGGGGACGGAGAAGGCUAUGUUAGCCGGGCGACGGUUGUCCCGGUUUAAGCAUGUAGGCUGAUUGUCCAGGCAAAUCCGGAUAAUCAAGGCUGAGGUGUGAUGACGAGGCACUACGGUGCUGAAGUAACAAAUGCCCUGCUUCCAGGAAAAGCCUCUAAGCAUCAGGUAACAUCAAAUCGUACCCCAAACCGACACAGGUGGUCAGGUAGAGAAUACCAAGGCGCUUGAGAGAACUCGGGUGAAGGAACUAGGCAAAAUGGUGCCGUAACUUCGGGAGAAGGCACGCUGGUGUGUAGGUGAAGUCCCUGCGGAUGGAGCUGAGACCAGUCGAAGAUACCAGCUGGCUGCAACUGUUUAUUAAAAACACAGCACUGUGCAAACACGAAAGUGGACGUAUACGGUGUGACGCCUGCCCGGUGCCGGAAGGUUAAUUGAUGGGGUUAUCCGUAAGGAGAAGCUCUUGAUCGAAGCCCCGGUAAACGGCGGCCGUAACUAUAACGGUCCUAAGGUAGCGAAAUUCCUUGUCGGGUAAGUUCCGACCUGCACGAAUGGCGUAAUGAUGGCCAGGCUGUCUCCACCCGAGACUCAGUGAAAUUGAACUCGCUGUGAAGAUGCAGUGUACCCGCGGCAAGACGGAAAGACCCCGUGAACCUUUACUAUAGCUUGACACUGAACAUUGAGCCUUGAUGUGUAGGAUAGGUGGGAGGCUUUGAAGCGUGGACGCCAGUCUGCGUGGAGCCAACCUUGAAAUACCACCCUUUAAUGUUUGAUGUUCUAACGUUGGCCCCUGACCGGGGUUGCGGACAGUGUCUGGUGGGUAGUUUGACUGGGGCGGUCUCCUCCCAAAGCGUAACGGAGGAGCACGAAGGUUAGCUAAUCCUGGUCGGACAUCAGGAGGUUAGUGCAAUGGCAUAAGCUAGCUUGACUGCGAGCGUGACGGCGCGAGCAGGUGCGAAAGCAGGUCAUAGUGAUCCGGUGGUUCUGAAUGGAAGGGCCAUCGCUCAACGGAUAAAAGGUACUCCGGGGAUAACAGGCUGAUACCGCCCAAGAGUUCAUAUCGACGGCGGUGUUUGGCACCUCGAUGUCGGCUCAUCACAUCCUGGGGCUGAAGUAGGUCCCAAGGGUAUGGCUGUUCGCCAUUUAAAGUGGUACGCGAGCUGGGUUUAGAACGUCGUGAGACAGUUCGGUCCCUAUCUGCCGUGGGCGCUGGAGAAUUGAGGGGGGCUGCUCCUAGUACGAGAGGACCGGAGUGGACGCAUCACUGGUGUUCGGGUUGUCAUGCCAAUGGCACUGCCCGGUAGCUAAAUGCGGAAGAGAUAAGUGCUGAAAGCAUCUAAGCACGAAACUUGCCCCGAGAUGAGUUCUCCCUGAGACUUUAAGUCUCCUGAAGGAACGUUAAAGACGAUGACGUUGAUAGGCCGGGUGUGUAAGCGCAGCGAUGCGUUGAGCUAACCGGUACUAAUGAACCGUGAGGCUUAACCUU